AAGAGGUUCUUCGAUUUGCUAGUUCAGGGUAUUGGGAAGAAGAGAGGCUUUGAGGCCGAUCUCAGCGACUAUCGCAGCAACCAGCGGAGGCCGCCGUUCGCGAACACGGAGGAGAGAGAGAAGCGGAAGCUGGUUACGGCUAAAGAGAAGGAGGUGUGAGGAGGACGAUGUUGUGAUAGAGGGGUGUGAGGUGAGGACGAGGGAGAAUACUGGGUUAUUGAGCGUUUCGGUAAUUGUUUAUUGUGAUGACCUGUACUAAGCAAACUACUUGUAAGUCAACUUGAGGAAAGGCUUCAAGGAAGCAGCUCGCCACCAAGAGAGUCAGAGCCAAGUAGCUGCACAUUGAUAUUAUAAUGCAGCAGCGAACAAACGGGAUUAAAUAUGGAACUAUGGAAGUAGGGAAAGACAUGUAGGCCUUGGGAGUCAUAAAUUGUUUCUAUUGAUAGACCAAAACAAUCAGGAAGUUGCCAUUCUAGAGGCUUAUUCGUGAAAUUGACCAGGACUUCAAGGUAUAUAUACAUACAAUCUAUUGAUGACUCUUCAACUCAAUACAAACAUAAGCCAAAGAGGGCUCAUACAAUAUUUUAAUCGGCUCAAUGUCGAUAUUGGACGGUUGAAAUGUUCAUUGGACUUUGUUGUAUCACAGGUCUUGUGCAGC
Molecule: long non-coding RNA, 658 nt
Organism: Rosa rugosa (rugosa rose)
Lineage: Eukaryota; Viridiplantae; Streptophyta; Magnoliopsida; Rosales; Rosaceae
Exons: 5
Source: RefSeq, a predicted model, not a curated record